GACGAACGCUGGCGGCGUGCUUAACACAUGCAAGUCGAACGGGCCUUGUCCCCUUUUUUUUUGGGGGUGGGGUUAGUGGCGAACGGGUGAGUAACACGUGAGUAACCUGCCCCUCACUUCUGGAUAACCGCUUGAAAGGGUGGCUAAUACGGGGUGUUCUGGCCUGCUCGCAUGGGUGGGUUUGGAAAGAUUCGACCGGUUUUGGUUGUUUUGGUGGGGGAUGGGCUCGCGGCCUAUCAGCUUGUGGGUGGGGUGAUGGCCUGCCAAGGCUUUGACGGGUAGCCGGCCUGAGAGGGUGGGCGGUCACACUGGGACUGAGACACGGCCCAGACUCCUACGGGAGGCAGCAGUGGGGAAUAGUGCACAAUGGGCGCAAGCCUGAUGCAGCGACGCCGCGUGAGGGAUGGAGGCCGUCGGGUUGUGAACCUCUUUCGCCAGUGAAGAAGGUCCUGCUCUUUGUGGUGGGGUUGACGGUAGCUGGGUUAAUGAAGCGCCGGCUAACUACGUG
This 508-nucleotide ribosomal RNA is filed under the name uncultured bacterium. RNAcentral's name for it is "partial 16S ribosomal RNA". It matches the Rfam family "Bacterial small subunit ribosomal RNA", at positions 28 to 507 of the family's 1533-position model. The record is from RNAcentral.